This 490-nucleotide ribosomal RNA is filed under the name uncultured bacterium. RNAcentral's name for it is "partial 16S ribosomal RNA". It matches the Rfam family "Bacterial small subunit ribosomal RNA", at positions 30 to 507 of the family's 1533-position model. The record is from RNAcentral.
AUUGAACGCUGGCGGCAGGCCUAACACAUGCAAGUCGAACGGUAACAGGAAGCAGCUCGCUGCUUCGCUGACGAGUGGCGGACGGGUGAGCAAUGUCUGGGAAGCUCCCUGAUGGAGGGGGAUAACUACGGAAAACGGUAGCUAAUACCGCAUAAUGUCGCAAGACCAAAGAGGGGGACUUUCGGUGCUUUUGCCAUCGAUUGUGCCCAGAUGGGAUUAGCUUGUUGGGGGGGUAACGGCUAACCAAGGCGACGCUCCCUAGCCGUUCUGAGAGGAUGAUCGGCCACACUGGGACUGAGACACGGUCCAGACUCCUACGGGAGGCAGCAGUAGGGAAUAUUGCGCAAUGGGCGCAAGCGUGAUGCAGCCAUGCCGCGUGUAUGAAGAAGGCCUUCGGGUUGUAAAGUACUUUCAGCGGGGAGGAAGAGAGUAAAGUUAAUACCUUUGCUCAUUGACGUUACCCGCAGAAGAAGCACCGGCUAACUACGUG